This 206-nucleotide long non-coding RNA is filed under the name Arabidopsis lyrata. Its description in RNAcentral is "long non-coding RNA (ALYR_LNC002786)". Lineage: Eukaryota; Viridiplantae; Streptophyta; Magnoliopsida; Brassicales; Brassicaceae. The record is from RNAcentral.
AGGGAUCGAUCCUCCCCAGACGCAGUUUCGCUCUCUCACUCCUGUGGCCACCUGGGAAUUUACCUGCGGACUUGCUCAGGCGCCCCAGACCACCAGUUUAUCAGGGGGCCCUUAAGUGGAGGCUUAAAAAUCCCUGUGACGCGGGCUUAGGCCCAGUGGGCUAGUCAGAUCACUGUGUGGUCUGGAUACUGGGUUAUCAAAAAAUA